Molecule: ribosomal RNA, 253 nt
Filed under: uncultured bacterium
Lineage: Bacteria
Description: partial 16S ribosomal RNA
Rfam family: Bacterial small subunit ribosomal RNA
Source: RNAcentral
UACGUAGGGUGCGAGCGUUAAUCGGAAUUACUGGGCGUAAAGCGUGCGCAGGCGGUUUUGUAAGCCAGAUGUGAAAUCCCCGGGCUUAACCUGGGAACUGCAUCCGAAACUGCUGGGCUAGAGUGUGGUAGAGGGCGGUAGGAUUCCAGGUGUAGCGGUGAAAUGCGUAGAUAUCUGGAGGAACACCGAUGGCGAAGGCAGCCGCCUGGGCCACAACUGACGCUGAGGUACGAAAGCGUGGGGAGCAAACAGG